RNAcentral lists this ribosomal RNA (506 nucleotides) under Phomopsis sp. HGUP1611. RNAcentral describes it as "eukaryotic LSU rRNA". The stretch from base 146 to 299 matches the Rfam family "5.8S ribosomal RNA". Lineage: Eukaryota; Fungi; Ascomycota; Sordariomycetes; Diaporthales; Diaporthaceae. The record is from RNAcentral.
GGAACCUCUCGGGGUUACAGCCUUGCUGAAUUAUUCACCCUUGUCUUUUGCGUACUUCUUGUUUCCUUGGUGGGUUCGCCCACCACUAGGACAAACAUAAACCUUUUGUAAUUGCAAUCAGCGUCAGUAACAAAUUAAUAAUUACAACUUUCAACAACGGAUCUCUUGGUUCUGGCAUCGAUGAAGAACGCAGCGAAAUGCGAUAAGUAGUGUGAAUUGCAGAAUUCAGUGAAUCAUCGAAUCUUUGAACGCACAUUGCGCCCUUUGGUAUUCCAAAGGGCAUGCCUGUUCGAGCGUCAUUUGUACCCUCAAGCUUUGCUUGGUGUUGGGCGUCUUGUCUCUAGCUUUGCUGGAGACUCGCCUUAAAGUAAUUGGCAGCCGGCCUACUGGUUUCGGAGCGCAGCACAAGUCGCACUCUCUAUCAGCAAAGGUCUAGCAUCCAUUAAGCCUUUUUUUCAACUUUUGACCUCGGAUCAGGUAGGGAUACCCGCUGAACUUAAGCAUAU